This 569-nucleotide ribosomal RNA is filed under the name Elisabethiella glumosae. Its description in RNAcentral is "eukaryotic LSU rRNA". It matches the Rfam family "Eukaryotic large subunit ribosomal RNA", at positions 647 to 1163 of the family's 3401-position model. The record is from RNAcentral. Lineage: Eukaryota; Metazoa; Arthropoda; Insecta; Hymenoptera; Agaonidae.
ACCCGUCUUGAAACACGGACCAAGGAGUCUAACAUGUGCGCAAGUCAUUGGGUUAAUGUUAAAACGAACAAGCCUAAAGGCGCAAUGAAAGUGAAGGUCGUCCAUAGCGUCGAUCGAGGGAGGAUGGCCCGGGCUCGCUCGGGUCCGCACUCCCGGGGCGUCUCACGGUCGUUUCGACCAGAGGCGCACCCAGAGCGUACACGUUGGGACCCGAAAGAUGGUGAACUAUGCCUGGUCAGGACGAAGUCAGGGGAAACCCUGAUGGAGGUCCGUAGCGAUUCUGACGUGCAAAUCGAUCGUCGGAACUGGGUAUAGGGGCGAAAGACUAAUCGAACCAUCUAGUAGCUGGUUCCCUCCGAAGUUUCCCUCAGGAUAGCUGGCACUCGCUCGAUAGCGAGUCUCAUCUGGUAAAGCGAAUGAUUAGAGGCCUUGGGGCCGAAACGACCUCAACCUAUUCUCAAACUUUAAAUGGGUGAGAUCUCUGGCUUGCUUGAAAGUUGAAGCCACGAGAUUCACGGAUCAGAGUGCCAAGUGGGCCAAUUUUGGUAAGCAGAACUGGCGCUGUGGGA